GACGAACGCUGGCGGCGUGCUUAACACAUGCAAGUCGAGCGAGGCCCCUCCUUCGGGAGGGUGUCCUAGCGGCGAACGGGUGAGUAACACGUGGGCAACCUGCCCUCAGCUCUGGGAUAACUCCGGGAAACCGGGGCUAAUACCGGAUACGACCUCCACGGGCAUCUGCGGAGGUGGAAAGUUUUUCGGCUGAGGAUGGGCCCGCGGCCUAUCAGCUAGUUGGUGGGGUAGUGGCCCACCAAGGCGACGACGGGUAGCCGGCCUGAGAGGGCGACCGGCCACACUGGGACUGAGACACGGCCCAGACUCCUACGGGAGGCGGCAGUGGGGAAUAUUGCGCAAUGGGCGAAAGCCUGACGCAGCGACGCCGCGUGAGGGACGAAGGCCUUCGGGUUGUAAACCUCUUUCAGCAGGGACGAAGCGAAAGUGACGGUACCUGCAGAAGAAGCACCGGCCAACUACGUG
Molecule: ribosomal RNA, 465 nt
Filed under: uncultured bacterium
Lineage: Bacteria
Description: partial 16S ribosomal RNA
Rfam family: Bacterial small subunit ribosomal RNA
Source: RNAcentral